UGCACCUGGACGGAGAGUGUGAUCUACAUUGAAUAUUUUACUUCGAGUUCGUAUCGGCUAGAUGGGAAACUUCGAUGCAGGUCUGGAGCGUCAGUUUGAUUUGGACCGUUGGGAAUUUCUGCUGUGAUUUUUGUUUUAGUUUUUUAACCGGAAAAAUAUGCCAAUGGGUUUUUCGUUAAAUGCGAGAUGGUAUAUUUCCUGGGGGCACUUCGAUGCUCUGAGCUAAGCACAACAGUUAAUUGUUUAGCACCAUUGAUUUCGGAAUUGGCCAGCAGCACAACUGGAUGGACGUAUUUAGAAUAUUCGCAAUAUAAUGGGGAUUAGCGGAAUGUUACCACAUCGCUUUGUGCAUGCUACUCUGCAAACUGGGUGGACAAGUUGUGUGAUCCGGUGUGAGGGUUUGAGGAUAUAGUACCCUGUGGCCUAGUGAGAAAUUUAUGGUUAUUUCGUACUGGAUAGUUAAACAUUAAUUAUAAUGUUGAUGAGAAUUAGCAUUCGGUGGCGAGCAUGGCGUAUGCCAUUAUGUUUCACUCGAAUCAAUGCGAUUAUUAAUGACGCUGGGAUAGAGGUAUUUAGCUAUACUGAUUUGAUUGCAAAUGUGUUUUGGUUGUUGAUGUGUAAUUGAGUUAGUAGGUUAUUUGUUCCACAGUAUAACUAGUCUUUGUGCAGAAAAAAACGUCAAUAUCGGAAUUUAAA
This is a long non-coding RNA of Wyeomyia smithii (pitcher-plant mosquito), 696 nucleotides long. RefSeq lists it as uncharacterized. Lineage: Eukaryota; Metazoa; Arthropoda; Insecta; Diptera; Culicidae. The transcript is spliced from 3 exons. The record is from RefSeq and is a predicted model, not a curated record.